GUGGGGAAUAUUGGGCAAUGGGGGAAACCCUGACCCAGCAACGCCGCGUGAAGGAAGAAGGCUUUCGGGUUGUAAACUUCUUUUACCAGGGAAAAACACAAUGAUGGUACCUGGAGAAAAAGCUACGGCUAACUACGUGCCAGCAGCCGCGGUAAUACGUAGGUGGCAAGCGUUGUCCGGAAUUACUGGGUGUAAAGGGCGUGUAGGCGGAACUACAAGUCAGGGGUGAAAACUAUGGGCUUAACCCAUAGCCUGCCUUUGAAACUGUAGUCCUUGAGUGCUGGAGAGGCAAUUGGAAUUCCUAGUGUAGCGGUGAAAUGCGUAGAUAUUAGGAGGAACACCAGUGGCGAAGGCGAAUUGCUGGACAGUAACUGACGCUGAGGCGCGAAAGCGUGGGGAGCAAACAGGAUUAGAAACCCUGGUAGUCC
Molecule: ribosomal RNA, 428 nt
Filed under: uncultured bacterium
Lineage: Bacteria
Description: partial 16S ribosomal RNA
Rfam family: Bacterial small subunit ribosomal RNA
Source: RNAcentral